GGAAUAUUGGACAAUGGGCGAAAGCCUGAUCCAGCCAUGCCGCGUGAGUGAAGAAGGCCCUCGGGGUGUAAAGCUCUGUCAUGAGGGAAGAACGGCGCGGGUGGCCCCGAGUAUGACGGUACCUCAGGAGGAAGCCCCGGCUAACUACGUGCCAGCAGCCGCGGUAAUACGAAGGGGGCAAGCGUUGUCCGGAAUUAUUGGGCGUAAAGCGCGCGCAGGUGGUGAUUUAAGUCUGAUGUGAAAGCCCACGGCUCAACCGUGGAGGGUCAUUGGAAACUGGAUCACUUGAGUGCAGGAGAGGAAAGUGGAAUUCCACGUGUAGCGGUGAAAUGCGUAGAGAUGUGGAGGAACACCAGUGGCGAAGGCGACUUUCUGGCCUGUAACUGACACUGAGGCGCGAAAGCGUGGGGAGCAAA
Molecule: ribosomal RNA, 416 nt
Filed under: uncultured bacterium
Lineage: Bacteria
Description: bacterial SSU rRNA
Rfam family: Bacterial small subunit ribosomal RNA
Source: RNAcentral